AUUGAACGCUGGCGGCAUGCCUUACACAUGCAAGUCGAACGGCAGCACGGGUGCUUGCACCUGGUGGCGAGUGGCGAACGGGUGAGUAAUACAUCGGAACAUGUCCUGUAUUGGGGGAUAGCCCGGCGAAAGCCGGAUUAAUACCGCAUACGAUCCACGGAUGAAAGCGGGGGACCUUCGGGCCUCGCGCUAUAGGGUUGGCCGAUGGCUGAUUAGCUAGUUGGUGGGGUAAAGGCCUACCAAGGCGACGAUCAGUAGCUGGUCUGAGAGGACGACCAGCCACACUGGAACUGAGACACGGCCCAGACUCCUACGGGAGGCAGCAGUGGGGAAUUUUGGACAAUGGGCGAAAGCCUGAUCCAGCAAUGCCGCGUGUGUGAAGAAGGCCUUCGGGUUGUAAAGCACUUUUGUCCGGAAAGAAAUCCUUGGCUCUAAUACAGUCGGGGGAUGACGGUACCGGAAGAAUAAGCACCGGCUAACUACGUG
This 486-nucleotide ribosomal RNA is filed under the name uncultured bacterium. RNAcentral's name for it is "partial 16S ribosomal RNA". It matches the Rfam family "Bacterial small subunit ribosomal RNA", at positions 30 to 507 of the family's 1533-position model. The record is from RNAcentral.